This 729-nucleotide ribosomal RNA is filed under the name Panstrongylus geniculatus. RNAcentral describes it as "SSU rRNA". It matches the Rfam family "Eukaryotic small subunit ribosomal RNA", at positions 473 to 1115 of the family's 1831-position model. Lineage: Eukaryota; Metazoa; Arthropoda; Insecta; Hemiptera; Reduviidae. The record is from RNAcentral.
AAAAAUAACGAUACGGGACUCUAUUGAGGCCCCGUAAUCGGAAUGAGUACACUUUAAAUCCUUUAACAAGGAUCCAUUGGAGGGCAAGUCUGGUGCCAGCAGCCGCGGUAAUUCCAGCUCCAAUAGCGUAUAUUAAAGUUGUUGCGGUUAAAAAGCUCGUAGUUGGUUCUGCGUGCCGCGCUGUCGGUUCGCCGCCUGUCGGUGUAACUGGCAUGUCGCGGCAUGUCCUGUCGGUGGUGAACGGAGUCCACAAUGCUACAUAGGCUUUAUAGCCGAUGUUAGCGUCGUGUGUACUUCCGUUGGCCGAUCUCUCCUACUUCGGUGCUCUUAAACGAGUGUCGAGGUAGGCCGACACGUUCACUUUGAACAAAUUAGAGUGCUUAAAGCAGGCUGAAAUAUCUGCCUGAAUAGUGGUGCAUGGAAUGAUAAAACAGGACCUCGGUUCUAUUUUGUUGGUUUUAGGAAUAUGAGGUAAUGAUCAAUGUGGACUGGCGGGGGCAUUCGUAUUGCGACGUUAGAGGUGAAAUUCUUGGAUCGUCGCAAGACGCACUAGAGCGAAAGCAUUUGCCAAGUAUGUCUUAAUUGAUCAAGAACGAAAGUUAGAGGUUCGAAGGCGAUCAGAUACCGCCCUAGUUCUAACCAUAAACGAUGCCAGCCAGCGAUCCGCCGAUGUUCCUUUAAUGACUCGGCGGGGAGCUUCCACCCGGGAAACCAAAGCUUUUGGGUUCC